GCUACGGCCAUACCACCCUGAACACGCCCGAUCUCGUCUGAUCUCGGAAGCUAAGCAGGGUCGGGCCUGGUCAGUACUUGGAUGGGAGACCGCCUGGGAAUACCAGGUGCUGUAAGCU
This 118-nucleotide ribosomal RNA is filed under the name Mastacembelus armatus (zig-zag eel). Lineage: Eukaryota; Metazoa; Chordata; Actinopteri; Synbranchiformes; Mastacembelidae. The record is from RNAcentral.